UACAGGCAAGUGGUCAAGUGGACAAGAGAGCAGGCCGCACAGUCGCGCACGCCGGCUCACAUGCUCGGUUCCGGCGACACCCCGCAAAAGGCAGCCAUGCCGCUUCGCCUCGGCUGUCCGCCUGCCCCCGAUCGGCGGAGGCGAAGGUACACCUGUCGGGGUGCGCGCAGCACAGCGGCAGCGCCCCCUUUGGAAAUAGCGCCGGGGCGACGUGGCCGGGCUGCGCACCGCUCCUCCGCACCAUUUUUUACUCCUCUUCUUCUCCCCCAAGGCCCCAACCAUCCCACUCUCUCUAUACAACAGCCACCCCCGCGCCCUUCCGCCCUUGUCGAGUCCAAAUCCAGGUUAUAGAUCCUCUCGCGCCGCCGCUCGCAGCCGCUCGCCGCCCGGUACAUCUCCCCCGCGCCUCUCCCUGCUCCUGGAUUUCACCGAUCUGGCAUGCUUUACUGUCCCGUCAUACGGUGGCAGCGGGAGCCGCCCCCUUCCUGCCUCCACAGCUCAUGCCAUGCAUGGCCGAUCCAUUCCCUCAGAUCGGGAUUGCCGCAUACAUGCCGUUGCUUCCCCGUUAGCUUCUCCCUUGUUACACCCCCUCGCUUCGUUCUGCGUAGUUUCGGGGUUUGACACCGCUUGUCUAUCCCGUUCCUAUAGCUUUUAGGGUUUCGAGCUCAAACUCCGCGCCGGCGUCUCAGUUGCUGCAAGUGGCGGCAGCAAGCUAGAGGCAGCAACUGCAUACCUUGCAAGAAAAAAUCGGUUUUGUUGACGUACCGAUGAUUUUCUUGCAAGUUGUGCAGUUGUUGUCUCAAGCUUGCUGCCUCCCUUUGCCAGAACUAUUGAAUGUGAAAGCACAGUUAAGUAAUGCCACGCCCAGAGAAUCCAAAAGGUUGCUGAUAUAAAAAGUUGCUAAUAAGUGGUGGAACUUUUAGCGGAGUAAAUUGUAUGCCUUUAUGAAAUAACUGAAGUAGAUAUGUUGGCAUGCUAUUGUUUGAAUCAAGAAAUGAUAUUAUAUACUCCCUCCGUCCCAAAAUAUUAGUCGUUUUAGCCCUUGAAAUUAUGUCUAUAUUUAAAUGAAUGACAAUGAAUCUAUAUAUAAUAUAAAACACAUACAUUAAGUAUUGUAUGAAUCUAGUAAAAUGCUAAAACGACUAAUAUUUUGGGACGGAGGGAGUACAAAAUAACAAGACGAGAAAUGACUGUAUGAACUCAAUUAAGGCAAAUACAAAACCUCUUCAUCUUGUGUUGAUAUUUUAUUUCAGACACAUACUUAAAUUAAGAAACAAUUUUAUCUAAUGAUAUGAAGCUGGACGUGUAUUGGCAUGCUUUGAUUAUGUAAUUUAUUGCUGUUAUCUACACUUCUCACAUACAAGUGCUGACAUCUCAAUGGAGCUAAAUAAUCCCAGAGCAUGUGAAAUCCUAAUGACGCAUGCGUCUUGAGGGACGAAACAGGACAAGUCAGAGAUUGGUGAUGAACUUGCUGGAACAAGCUUAUGCAUGAAACUGCUGAUGGUUUUAACCUUUUUAGGAUUUAGCUAAAGGCUAUAAUAAUCUUCAAAGGUUCAAUAUAAAUUCUUGGACUAUAGACUGAAGUAUGGCUGCUGAUCUUCCAAGAUCUCUCCAGUUCAGAGGAUGGGAUUAUGGGAGCUUAGACCAGAGCUGUCUAAGCAAUUCCAGAGUACAGAAGGGUAUACUCUGAUCCUAGAAAAGAUGGCAUAUUCUAUCGGACCAGAGUCACCAGACCUUGGAUGAAAGGGCUUCAGUUUAAGUCCUACAAGAGAUGAACGAUGGCAACCACCAAAAGUCCAACUACGUAGAACGAUGGCAACCACCAAAAAUUGCCCAUUGUUCAUCCGACGGGCAAUUUGCCGUUUCUUCUCAUGGUGAGACAUGGGAUGCUGCAACAUGACCCGAAAAACUGGAUUUCAAUUCAAGUGAACAGUUUCUCCAUUUGUACGGUAUUCCAUUGCAAUUUCUGCCUAUGAUGGUGCGCGGAUACCUGGGCUAAGCCAUGUGGAGACACAGACACCAUAUAUGAAGUUGGUCUUUUUGCUGCCAACCAAUCAUGAACACCAAAUUCAGAGUUAGGAAUGAACUAUAACUAUUCAUAGUCUUGUUAUUACCUUAAGCUCUUGAUUUUGCAACGAACCUGUUGAUGCGCAGUUGAUCUAACACAUGAGAUGUGGUUUAAUAGACAAUACAAGUGUAUUCUAGUUGUCUUUUUCAUAGUGGGUCAGUGAAAAAAAGUGUUUUGAACCAUUGUUCCUUGACCCAUAUGUUCGACGCACACAAUUUGCCAAGAACUAUCUGCACAUAUGGUUUUGUAUC
Long non-coding RNA from Zea mays, 2319 nucleotides. RefSeq lists it as uncharacterized. NCBI's taxonomy places the organism in Eukaryota, Viridiplantae, Streptophyta, Magnoliopsida, Poales, Poaceae. The transcript is spliced from 5 exons. The record is from RefSeq and is a predicted model, not a curated record.